UCGGUCCAAUUCAAAAGUAUCUUCGUCAAAAGCUUGGUCGCGCCACAUACAACCUAUCGCGUUUUCGAAUUUGAAACGGUGCAAUCGGAAACCAAGAGAAAGCAUAAAUCUGGACCAAACCUCUCAAAUCGGAUCCAUCAAUGGCAACCUGCAACGAUCCUGCGUGCUCUCCAAUUUGUGAUUUGUACUUUCUCGCCGUAAAAUCCCUCGUCUCAAGCACAACUCAAAUCCAGAGACGUAAAACAGAAUUCGGCGCAGUGGAGGAUACGCUCAGAACUGAAUCAUGUCAAUGAAGUGAAGGUUGCAAGACACUUACCAGAAUUCUGCGCGGCGAUUCUUCGAAGUCGACGUCAACUUCACAGGUAAAUAAUCUUUCUAUUUCUUCCUCGAUUCUCUCCUUCUUCUCCUGUCUUGAUUCCCUUCUUCUCCUUCUGCUUGAAUUGUCCUUCUUCUUCCCUCUACUGUUGGUGCGAUUUUCUGUUUGCGUAUGCGUGCGUUUUUUGCUUCUAUUUUGAUGCCCUGAGAAUUGUCGAGCUUCUUCUUCUCUUCUCUUCCGUUUCUGUCUCUGUUGUGUUCUUGUUGUUGGAAGGUUGGAGGUGUGCGAGAGUGUAUCAGAAUCAGUUAGGGAGGUUCGUUCUGGAAGGUUUGGUUACCGGGUUUUGUUAAGGGUGAUGGCAGAUGAAGUUAUGGAAGUUGUUGAAGAGUUAUGGAGUCUGUUAUCAAGUUCUAGAGACAGUUGAAAGUUCUGUUGGAAUGAGGAGGAAUCUCUAGUUUGUUAGAAGGUUGAAUGGAGAUUGAGAGCAAAAAAACUCUCCCCCAAUGAUGACACAGCUAGGACUUGAAGUGCAUUCGGUCCAAUGGAAUGCUUGGUGAAACUUUGAUUGAUUGAAACCGAUUUUUGGAUAAUGGUUGAAUUGUGUUGUGAUUUUUGUGCAUGGGAUUGAAGUUUUGUAUUUGUGUUUAGGGAUGAUUAAAUGUAUGAAGAUAUCGAACUAAAUGAUUUAUGUAUGGAAAUGGUGUUUGUAAUA
Molecule: long non-coding RNA, 1028 nt
Organism: Lathyrus oleraceus (garden pea)
Lineage: Eukaryota; Viridiplantae; Streptophyta; Magnoliopsida; Fabales; Fabaceae
Exons: 2
Source: RefSeq, a predicted model, not a curated record